Long non-coding RNA from Daucus carota subsp. sativus, 668 nucleotides. RefSeq lists it as uncharacterized. The record is from RefSeq and is a predicted model, not a curated record. Lineage: Eukaryota; Viridiplantae; Streptophyta; Magnoliopsida; Apiales; Apiaceae. The transcript is spliced from 2 exons.
UUUUAAGAUAGGGGAAUGAGAAAGCAUGUACCUCCAGCAUGUUAACACAAACCUAGCCUGUACCCCGGGUUACGAAAAAUUGAUUCACAAUCGAUCUUCUCACUCGAUAUACAUCUUCUCCUUCGUCGUUUCUUCAUUUCUCUCUAUAAUUCUUCAUGUCCGUCGAUCUCGCCUCUCUCUCUCUCACACACACACAAUCUCUUCUCUCCAUCACUCCCUCUCUCCCAAUAUCUCUCUCCACUCUCCAUCUCUGUAUCAUAUUGCUUGAUAAUCAAGGCUCUUUUAAUUGAAAAGUUUUCAAGUAUGAAUACAGGAAGAGGCAGAAUAAGAGAAAUUGGAGUGAUGAGGAGGAUCGUGCUCUCAUUGAAACCCUUCAAGAAGUAGCUGUUGAUAUAAAUUGAAAGAGUGAGAAGGGAUGGAGGGAUGGUUACUUGGUUCGGGUUGAAGAGCUGAUGGCUAUGAAAGUACCUAUGGCAGGUCUAAAAGCAAAUCCCCACAUUGAGUCAAGAUGAAAGUAUCUAAAGCGAAAGUAUCACACAAUAACCGAUAUGCGAGCUAGUUCUAGAUUUGGUUGGGAUGAGAAUACAAAAAAAAUCCAACGUGACAAAAGCGUGUAUGACGAAUGGUGCAAGAUACAUAUUUACUUUUAUAAAUUGUUUAUGGUUGCA